UUCCUGGUAGUCUAGUGGUUAGGACUCAGCACUGGCAUUGCUGUGGCCUGGGUUCAAUCCCUGGUCAUGGAA
Molecule: transfer RNA, 72 nt
Filed under: Bos taurus (domestic cattle)
Lineage: Eukaryota; Metazoa; Chordata; Mammalia; Artiodactyla; Bovidae
Also listed under: 2 other names
Rfam family: tRNA
About the family: Transfer RNA (tRNA) molecules are approximately 80 nucleotides in length. Their secondary structure includes four short double-helical elements and three loops (D, anti-codon, and T loops). Further hydrogen bonds mediate the characteristic L-shaped molecular structure. tRNAs have two regions of fundamental functional importance: the anti-codon, which is responsible for specific mRNA codon recognition, and the 3' end, to which the tRNAs corresponding amino acid is attached (by aminoacyl-tRNA synthetases). tRNAs cope with the degeneracy of the genetic code in two manners: having more than one tRNA (with a specific anti-codon) for a particular amino acid; and 'wobble' base-pairing, i.e. permitting non-standard base-pairing at the 3rd anti-codon position.
Source: Rfam by way of RNAcentral